GUCUACAGCCAUGCAACCCUGAACGUGCUUGAUCCGGUCUGAUCUUGGAAGCUAAGCAGGGUCGGUCCUAGUUAAUACUUGGAUGGGAGACCACCUAGGAAGACCAGGUGCUGCAGGUG
Molecule: ribosomal RNA, 119 nt
Filed under: Pteropus alecto (black flying fox)
Lineage: Eukaryota; Metazoa; Chordata; Mammalia; Chiroptera; Pteropodidae
Source: RNAcentral